This 253-nucleotide ribosomal RNA is filed under the name uncultured bacterium. Its description in RNAcentral is "partial 16S ribosomal RNA". It matches the Rfam family "Bacterial small subunit ribosomal RNA", at positions 524 to 776 of the family's 1533-position model. The record is from RNAcentral.
UACGUAGGUGACAAGCGUUGUCCGGAUUUAUUGGGCGUAAAGAGCGUGUAGGCGGCCAGGUAGGUCUGGUGUGAAAACUCGAGGCUUAACCUCGAGAUGUCAUCGGAAACCAUCUGGCUAGAGUCCGGAAGAGGAGAGUGGAAUUCCUGGUGUAGCGGUGAAAUGCGCAGAUAUCAGGAAGAACACCAAUGGCGAAAGCAGCUCUCUGGGACGGUACUGACGCUGAGACGCGAAAGCGUGGGGAGCGAACAGG